GAGUGAUCGAAAGAUGAAAAGCACUUUGAAAAGAGAGUCAAACAGCACGUGAAAUUGUUGAAAGGGAAGCGUUGGCCCCCAGACGCGCCCGGGAGGGCUCAGCCGGCACGUGUGCCGGUGUACUCUCUCCCGGGCGGGCCAGCAUCGGUUUGGGCGGUCGCUGAAAGGCCCCGGGAAUGUAGCACCCUCCGGGGUGCCUUAUAGCCCGGGGCGGCAUGCGGCCCGCCGGGACCGAGGCCCGCGCUCGGGCGAGGAUGCUGGCGUAAUGGGGGUUWWCGGC
RNAcentral lists this ribosomal RNA (280 nucleotides) under Talaromyces ruber. RNAcentral's name for it is "partial large subunit ribosomal RNA". It matches the Rfam family "Eukaryotic large subunit ribosomal RNA", at positions 351 to 648 of the family's 3401-position model. The record is from RNAcentral. Lineage: Eukaryota; Fungi; Ascomycota; Eurotiomycetes; Eurotiales; Trichocomaceae.